AUCAAGUACUAGCUGAAAAAUUCUUCUCCUUCCUAUUUCCCAAUCUCCCUUCUCCUUCUGCUGCACCAAAGCCUUCUCCUUCUGCUGCACCAAAGCCUUCUCCUUCUCACUGAAAGGGUCGGGCGUUGGAGUGGAACAUAUACGAGAGCUAAUUGUAAAAAUAGAAAAAAGAGACUCUUCAAUCCUUGAAUUUGUGUCAAGGUAAAUUACUGAAAUGAAAUAAUAUCAACUUUCUUCCAUUAUUCCAAAAUUAGUCCAUUUAAUUUUUUUACAGCCCAUAAAAAUAUGCAUAAAAUACGCUACAUUAAUUCUUGUUUACCAUUGAUUUAAUGGUGAAUAUCAGAUCAAUAGAUCAAUUAAAAGGGGAAAAAAAACUUGAUUGCUCUCAGUUGAAAGGCCAAAGUUUGUCCACAGGAGAGAGCUUGAAAGAGGAAUCCAAAUCCUCCUCUGAUUAAACCAAACUAGCUACUUCUUAGUGCUUGACAGAGCCUUCUUCUUCUCUCUAAAAGACGGAGAUCCAGUGAACCUCCAUUCCCCUAGAAAAAAGACUCAUCAAGCGUCCAUCAAGCACAAAAAAGCACUGCUACUUGCCUUAAACAAAGGCUGAUCCAAAUAAACAUCCUCCAAACCCUAUUUUCGGUGUGGUUAAAGCAAAUUCAAUCAUCAUCGAGCAAACAAACAAAUAAAGAGAAUUUGUGGAACUCACGAGAAAAAGCAAGAAUCCAUAGAAAACAUAAAUCUGCUUGUCCAUGAGCACCUUUGCUUUCGCAUCGCUUCGUAUUCUCUGAGCUAUAUAAUCACAAAACACAGAGAAUCAUAGGCAGAUGCUUGUUUGUUGAUUAAAAACAUCAGAUCCAUAGAUGACACAAACAGGGAAACAAACUUAAAAAUAUAAAAUCAUAGAAUCACACAAGAGAAGACAGAGACUGAUACUAUAA
RNAcentral lists this long non-coding RNA (938 nucleotides) under Manihot esculenta (cassava). Its description in RNAcentral is "long non-coding RNA (MESC_LNC000825)". Lineage: Eukaryota; Viridiplantae; Streptophyta; Magnoliopsida; Malpighiales; Euphorbiaceae. The record is from RNAcentral.